RNAcentral lists this ribosomal RNA (562 nucleotides) under denitrifying bacterium I(A1). RNAcentral's name for it is "bacterial SSU rRNA". It matches the Rfam family "Bacterial small subunit ribosomal RNA", at positions 353 to 906 of the family's 1533-position model. The record is from RNAcentral. RNAcentral also lists the same sequence under 1 other name.
AGUGGGGAAUAUUGGACAAUGGGCGCAAGCCUGAUCCAGCAAUGCCGCGUGUGUGAAGAAGGCCUUCGGGUUGUAAAGCACUUUUAUCAGGAGCGAAAUGCCAUUGGUUAAUACCCGGUGGAGCUGACGGUACCUGAGGAAUAAGCACCGGCUAACUUCGUGCCAGCAGCCGCGGUAAUACGAAGGGUGCAAGCGUUAAUCGGAAUUACUGGGCGUAAAGCGUGCGUAGGCGGUGAUUUAAGUCUGCUGUGAAAUCCCCGGGCUCAACCUGGGAAUGGCAGUGGAUACUGGAUCGCUAGAGUGUGAUAGAGGAUGGUGGAAUUCCCGGUGUAGCGGUGAAAUGCGUAGAGAUCGGGAGGAACAUCAGUGGCGAAGGCGGCCAUCUGGAUCAACACUGACGCUGAGGCACGAAAGCGUGGGGAGCAAACAGGAUUAGAUACCCUGGUAGUCCACGCCCUAAACGAUGCGAACUGGAUGUUGGUCUCAACUCGGAGAUCAGUGUCGAAGCUAACGCGUUAAGUUCGCCGCCUGGGGAGUACGGUCGCAAGACUGAAACUCAAAG